Molecule: long non-coding RNA, 866 nt
Filed under: Mytilus galloprovincialis (Mediterranean mussel)
Lineage: Eukaryota; Metazoa; Mollusca; Bivalvia; Mytilida; Mytilidae
Source: RNAcentral
AGCAAUACAACUAUACCAACUAUUUUUGUUUAAACUAUUUAGUGAUCUAGAGACAUUCAGGGCUUCAGAGAGAAGGAUAUCAUCAGACUUUAAUAUAUAUUUAUAAUAUCUAAACAUAUUUAAAAUUACUUCAAGAAAUAAGGGAAAUCUUCCCAUUUCAACCAAUACAGCUAUAUUUGUAGAUUUUUUAACUAAACCCAAAGAAAAUUUACAGAAUUUGACAUGAAUACUUUCUUGUUUCAUGUCCUUGCAUAGUUUAAAAAGAUUAUGUUCAUUUUUAUUUAGUUUAUUUAUUACUGAAGAUCCCCAUAUUUCACUCCCAUAUAACAAAACAGGUUUCACAGUAUGAUCAAAUAUAUGUGAAAGUGUGUUAAUUUUAGGUUUAUAUAAGUUAAAACUUUUUUAUAUUUAAAUAAAGCUUUCAGUCCCCUUUUAUAUAAAUCAUCUUUAGCCUCUGUAAAGCUUCCACUUGCGCUCACAUAAAUUCCUAAAUAUUUAUAGCCCCUAGCCCUUUCAAUAGGUAUAUUAUUAAUAUUAAAUAUUUUUUCAUCUAGUUUUCCUGUUUUAUUAAAUACUACUGAUUUAGUUUUCUUUAUAUUUAUUUGGAGCCCCCAUUUAUCACAGUAAUUAUAUAGUUUAUCAAUACACCUCUGUAAACCAUCAGCUGUUUCUGACAUCAAUACUAAGUCAUCUGCAUACAAUAAGCAAUUAAGGUGUAAGGAAUUUAAAAUAGCAGGUUUACAUGUCUCAUCAAAAGAGUCAAGAAUAUCAUUUAUAAAAAUUUUAAAUAAAGUGGGGCUUAAAUUAUCCCCUUGUUUGACUCCUUUGUUAGAUGUAAAGUUUUCAGUCAUAGAAUAUUUGUUUAC